This 386-nucleotide ribosomal RNA is filed under the name uncultured bacterium. RNAcentral's name for it is "bacterial SSU rRNA". It matches the Rfam family "Bacterial small subunit ribosomal RNA", at positions 1006 to 1392 of the family's 1533-position model. The record is from RNAcentral.
ACUGGNACUUUCCUUCGGGACAGAUAAGACAGGUGGUGCAUGGUUGUCGUCAUCUCGUGUCGUGAGAUGUUGGGUUAAGUCCCGCAACGAGCGCAACCCCUAUUUUUAGUAGCCAGCAUUUCGGCUGGGCACUCUAAUGAGACUGCCGGGGAUAACCCGGAAGAAGGGGGGGAUGACUUCAAAUCAUCCUGCCCCUUACUAUUUGGGCUACACACGUGCUACAAUGGCGUAAACAAAGGGAAACGACCCCGCGAGGGUAAACAAAUCCCAAAAAUAACGUCUCAUUUCGGAUUGUAGUCUGCAACUCGACUACAUGAAGCUGGAAUCGCUAAUAAUCGCAAAUCAAAAUGCUGCGGUGAAUACUUUCCCGGGUCUUGUACACACCG